Molecule: long non-coding RNA, 291 nt
Filed under: Olea europaea (common olive)
Lineage: Eukaryota; Viridiplantae; Streptophyta; Magnoliopsida; Lamiales; Oleaceae
Description: long non-coding RNA (OEUR_LNC011569)
Source: RNAcentral
GACUUGCUGGUUGCAACUUCAAAGAACCGCCUGUAGCAUAAAUUCUUAGACCUUUAUGACUACAUGUGAACAUCACAUAUCUCAUAACUUCAUCGUCCCCCUUUUUUGAAUUCAUUUUCUCACUGGAAAACCUAUGGCAUAAGCAUAUCUUUUGUAGGAGUCUAACAUUUUUUUUCACUACUAAACAUCAUUCCCACCUCAGGCUUAGUUGCAAAAUCUCUUUCCAAUUUUUCAUUGUUCAAUGUGUUCAAAUUGGCCAUUAUGCUCUUGUUAUCCCAUUUUACCAAUAGA